CCUCUACUGGUAUCUUCUAGUGAGCUCAACCCAAGGCUCCUCCACCAUCUGAGCUGGAUGCUUUGGAUGCCAUGUCUUUCAUCAUGUCAGACGCAGAUCUGGUUACUAGUGGUACAGCCGGAAUGUGAUAACUUCUAUGCUAUGCAUAAAGUUGAAAAGAGAUGCUGAGUGAUUUCCAUAAGCAGGAAGAGGCUCUACCUUGUCUCUUCCCUCCUUAC
Molecule: long non-coding RNA, 218 nt
Organism: Lagopus leucura (white-tailed ptarmigan)
Lineage: Eukaryota; Metazoa; Chordata; Aves; Galliformes; Phasianidae
Exons: 3
Source: RefSeq, a predicted model, not a curated record